AUCGUUUGGAAUCGAAUUCGAAUUACGUGUGAACUCAGCAUUAUUAUUCAGGUAUAAAACCACUAAUUUAUAGCCCGAUUGCUAUCUAUGUUAAAUUCGACCGUUUUUAGCAUUAAUGGCUACUUUGUCAAAUUGAGUGACAGUUAUUUCAUGCCAAAGAUAUACCUUCUCCUGGCUUAUGCUAAAAAAAAUCAACAUGCCUUUAAUUGCAUAUAAGAGCGAACUGUUUCUCGAAAUUUUGAAAGUACAAAAACCGGUACAUCUGAUAUAAAAUACAGGGCAAAUGUGCUAUUAAAAUUUCAUUAUUCAACAAGGGUUCUAUAGUGAUCCCAAGUCCCCCAGCAUUCAUUGAUACCAAAAACAACUCAAAUAUUUCACCUAUUGAUAAGGAUACAGCUAUGCAUAGAAACUAUUUUGUUUAAAUUAUGUUCGACCAGGCCUGAAUAAGGGGUUCUACACCUUCAUGGUAUACCAAUUUUUUGGGAAAAUUUGAACUUAAAACAUUCAAUUAAAUUUUAAUUUUCUAAAGGUCUGUAUGCAGACUUUAGAAGUUUGAAGAUUUAAAACCAUGUGUGACAUAUAUACUAAAUAGCAAAAGAAAUGUUAAAAAAAAAAAGAUGACUUUGUUAAAAGAAUUGAUUUGUCUGAAAUUUGUCAAAAGUCUGACUAAAACCAAAACAUUUCAACUAUCAAAACCACAAUUACACAUCUUCCUCCAAAACCAAACAAAUUGAAAAUACAAGAAACAAAAUAACUAUGAUUAUAAUUGAAAACCCAUUUUGAAAAAAGAUUAUCCCUUUUAUAAUCUUAAUCCUAAUUUUUUUUUUUUUUUUUUGGGGGGGGGGAGGGGGAUGUUUCUUGUGAAGCUCGGUAUAAUUUCUUUCUUGUGUGUUUAAAAUUUAACAAACCAGUAGUUGUUAUGUGUUAUUUGAUUUGUUUGUUUGUUAUUUUUUAUUUGUUGUAUCAAGUGGUAUUGAUAAAGAUAUAAAAUCUUGAUAAUAUAGUCUAGUUUAAAUUCCAUCUUAAUGGCAGAUCAUAUUCAGGGACUUGAAUGAAACAAAAAUGAGGCCAUGGUUUUACCUUAGAAAGAUUAGAUUUAAACCUUUAGAUAAUUAUUUAACGGUACUUAUUUACUUAUUUAUAAAUAUAGAAAGAUGUGGUACAAGUGCUAAUAAGACAACUCUGCAUCCAAGCCCUAAUUUGUAACGGUAAACCAUUAUAGGUCACAGUACGGUCUUCAACACGGAGCCUAGGCUCACACCAAACAGCAAGCUAUAAAGGGCCCUAAAAAUGACGAGUGUAAAAACCAUUUAAACAGGAAAAGUGACGGUCUAAUCUAUACAAAAAAAGAGAAACACUUAUGUACCACAUCAUCAAACAACAACCACUAAACAACAAGUUUCUGUUUUAUGACCGAUGAAAACAAAUAGAGCGGGUUUAAAUGUUUUAACAGGUGCCAACUGACCUGAAAUAAUUGUGUGAUAUGUUUGAUUGUUAUUUUAGUAAUCCAGCUUUUGUGGCCAAGUGUUCUAAAUAUAUUAUAUACAGUACUAGUGAUCACUGGUCUGUCUUCAAUAAUGUUGUGAGGUUAAACCCCAUUGUAGCAGGUGGGUGGGUGUUUAAUCUCAUUCUUAAUUGACACAGAUUACCUGUUUCCUUUGAUGGUCAAUAGUUCUCUCUUGAUAUUCUGUCUUUCUCCACCAAUAAAAACUGGGAACAUUGAUUAAGCAAAGAGUUUAGAAAAUGUUGUUAAACACCAACAGUUUAUCCAUCAAUCAUAUUUCAGUAUUCACUUUUAUCAUCAUACAUUUUUUAUUUAUAUAUUUCUUUCCAAAAAUGCUCCCACCUGUAGUAAAUUUACUUGUAUUGUUUUCUAUUGUUAACUGAAAUUAUUGAAAUUCUAUUAUGGCACUUUUUUGUUUGUUUGAUGUCAGUAAAAUCAAGCCAUGAUUUCUUCCAAUAGAGAACUUUCUAUUGUCAUGGUAUUUUAUAUUCAGAUGUUCAUAUUCAGUAUUAAAAGGUUUGAUGGUUUUGCUUUUUCUGACUUCAAAAUUCAUUGUCAGACAUUUUUAUGCCUGUUGGACUUUUAUAUCUAAAAAAUGUACAAGACCUCCAAAUUUCUUUCUAGUUUCCAACUAAAUCAAUGUUUUUUAGACUUCAACUUAUAUUACUUUAACUUUAAUUGUGUCUGUUGACAUUAUAUACUUAAACAAUUUUCUCUUAUUUUUGUGCUAUUUUCACAUUUCUGGAGUGGAGUGAGAAAAAUAUUUCUCAUUACUAGUGAAAUGUCUGUUCUCAGCAAAUGAAUGGUCAAAAUUUAAUUAUAACAUUAAAUUUUCUUGAUUUUUGUAUGAAUUUCUUAUUGUGACGUUUUGCUGACGUCACAUACAAAGAACACACUUUUCUGCAAAUCUUUGAAAAGGUAUGAUAAAAAUCAUUAGAAAAACUAAUUACACCACUAUUACUCAUGUACAUGUAUUACAAUAUUUCUAUACUCUCAACAGUUAAAUUUUAAUUAUUUAAAAAGGUCGGCAAACCUUGUGCCUUGAUUAUUAAAAUUUAACUGUCUCAAGUGGAAAAAUAUGGUAAUUCACUUGUUGCAGUGAUUGAUCUUUAUAUCUUUGCAUGCAGUACCAUGAGAGAUACCCAUUGUA
RNAcentral lists this long non-coding RNA (2654 nucleotides) under Mytilus galloprovincialis (Mediterranean mussel). Lineage: Eukaryota; Metazoa; Mollusca; Bivalvia; Mytilida; Mytilidae. The record is from RNAcentral.